CUGAGUUAUCACAACUCCCAACCCAUGUGAACCUUACCAAUCGUUGCCUCGGCAGGGCCCCCUAAACCCGGGCCUUGCCGGCGGACCCAACCAACUCUUGCUGUAUCGUGGCAUUCUGAGUAUUAAAAACAUAAUAGUUA
This 140-nucleotide unclassified non-coding RNA is filed under the name uncultured Xylariales. RNAcentral's name for it is "sequence contains ITS1". The record is from RNAcentral. Lineage: Eukaryota; Fungi; Ascomycota; Sordariomycetes; Xylariales.